RNAcentral lists this ribosomal RNA (693 nucleotides) under uncultured bacterium. Its description in RNAcentral is "bacterial SSU rRNA". It matches the Rfam family "Bacterial small subunit ribosomal RNA", at positions 96 to 787 of the family's 1533-position model. The record is from RNAcentral.
UGGCGCACGGGUGCGUAACGCGUAUGCAACCUACCUUAAUCAGGGGGAUAGCCCGAAGAAAUUCGGAUUAAGACCGCAUAAAAACACAGGAUAGCAUUAUCCAAUGUUCAAAUAUUUAUAGGAUUAAGAUGGGCAUGCGUGUCAUUAGCUAGUUGGCGGGGUAACGGCCCACCAAGGCGACGAUGACUAGGGGAUCUGAGAGGAUGACCCCCCACACUGGUACUGAGACACGGACCAGACUCCUACGGGAGGCAGCAGUAAGGAAUAUUGGUCAAUGGAGGGAACUCUGAACCAGCCAUGCCGCGUGCAGGAAGACAGCCCUCUGGGUCGUAAACUGCUUUUAUUCGGGAAUAAACCUUUCUACGUGUAGGAAGCUGAAUGUACCGAAGGAAUAAGGAUCGGCUAACUCCGUGCCAGCAGCCGCGGUAAUACGGAGGAUCCAAGCGUUAUCCGGAUUUAUUGGGUUUAAAGGGUGCGUAGGCGGCUUAUUAAGUCAGGGGUGAAAGACGGUGGCUCAACCAUCGCAGUGCCCUUGAUACUGAUGAGCUUGAAUACACUAGAGGUAGGCGGAAUGUGACAAGUAGCGGUGAAAUGCAUAGAUAUGUCACAGAACACCGAUUGCGAACGCAGCUUACUAUGGUGUUAUUGACGCUGAGGCACGAAAGCGUGGGGAUCAAACAGGAUUAGAUACCC